Molecule: ribosomal RNA, 2827 nt
Filed under: Chiloscyllium punctatum (brownbanded bambooshark)
Lineage: Eukaryota; Metazoa; Chordata; Chondrichthyes; Orectolobiformes; Hemiscylliidae
Description: eukaryotic LSU rRNA
Rfam family: Eukaryotic large subunit ribosomal RNA (bases 1246-2827)
Source: RNAcentral
AAUGUGUUUCGAGGCUACUACCAUCGUUCCUGUGCCGAAGAAGUCUGCAGUGUCCUGCCUCAACAACAACUACUCCAUUAUGUUAACACCAAUCAUGAAGUGUUCUGAGAGGCACAUGAGGCAUAUGAAGACCCUCCUGCCCCACUCACUGGGCACCCUGCAGUUUGCGUAACAUCCCAACCACUCAAGAGAUGAUGCCAUCUCCACCACCUUCCAUCUGGCCCCCACCCACUUGAACAAAAAGGACAUCUAUGGCCGAUUACUGUUCAUAGACUUUGGUUCUGCAUUUAACGCUAUCAUUCCUCAGCACCUGAUUGGAAAGCUGAGUCUGCUGGGCUUGAAUACCUCCUUCUUUAACUGGAUCCUGCACUUCUUAACUGGGAAACCUCAGUCAGUCCAGAUUGGAAACACCAGACUGGAAACACCCCAGGGCUAUGUGCUCAGUCCACUGCUGUUCACCCUGCUGACACAUGACUGUGCAGUGAUGCACAGCUCAAAUCAUAUUAAGUCUACUGAUGACACCCAUUGCCGUCAUGUCAUUAGCAGAAAUGAUGAGUCAACAUACAGAGAAAGUGCAGCAGCUAACAGACUGGUGCAGAGACAACAACCUGUCUCUGAAUGUGGACAAAACAAAAGAGAUGGUUGUUGACUUCAGGAAGGCACGGUGCAAUCCUCUUACUAAGAAACUUGUACCCAAAUAGAACAUAGUUGUCAUACGGAAGGCCCUUUAAUAUGAAGGACUGUAGGAGAUGCAACGAUGCCAUCAAGACAGUCGCAUACAUAUCAGGCUGGUGUUCAUGUGAAAAAUAUGCGCAUUAAAAAGACACAACAGAAUGGUGGAGGAACUAACUAAAUACGUUAAAACUAAAGGAUGGACCACAUAUGUUGAACCUCGUAUAAAGGACGAUACAGGAAAGCUCUGGAUCCCAGAUAUUAUACUUUAAUACGACUGUAUCUUUUUUAUUGUUGUGGAUGUUACAAUUCGAACAGAAAACCAAGAAAAUUCAUUAGAGCACGCUUGGGAGGAGAAAGUGGAGAAAUAUAAACAUCUAGAGAAAGAAAUUAUGGACUCUAUUAAAAGGAACCAAUAUUUCUCUUUACGGAUUUGUGAUGGGGUCCAGAGGUAAAUGGUUCAAUAAGAACAACGACCUGAUGAAAGAUCUCAGGAUCGAAAAGUAAAAGUCACUUGCUCAAAACAUCAUAAAUCUGGUUAUUAUCCUGACUCUCGAGCUGCUCAGAAUUUUUAUGGAUUCAUAAUGGACUCUUUUAGUUUCUCUAUUUUGGACAUAAUUUGAUUAAUUUUAAAAUUAAUUGUUUUUAAUGUUAAUUUUAGGUAGAAUUCUACCUUAUUUUAGAACUUAGAAUUUUAAAUUUUAUAAUAAUUUUAGUCAUAAAAGGUUCUGUUUUUUAAUUCACAGUAAUGGUGGAGGGGAGUUUAGGGUGAAUAAAAUUAAAAUUGCACUUGCCAACACAACAGGUGAUGAGCUAGCGAGGUAACUAACCGGUCAGUUGAAUAAUCCUAGCUCCAUCCUCACUUGGUCUCUGCUUUACAGUAAUAGUUCCCAUUCCCUUAUCAUCAUCUGGCUGUGGUUAGCUCGACAGGAGUAUCUUUUACGUCGAAGAGAAAAAACUCAAAAUGGACCCAAUCCAUUCAGAUGGUGAGUGCGAGAAUAGCCAAAUGCCUCCUCAUCUAAUUAGUGACGGUUGAAUGGAUGAGCGAGAUUCCCACUGUCCCUACCUACUAUCUAGCGAAACCACAGCCAAGGGAACAGGCUUGGUAGAAUUAGAAGGAAAAUAAGACACUACUGAGUUUGACUCUAGUCUGGCACUGUGAAGAGACAUGAGAGGUGUAGAAUAAGUGGGAGGCAUCGACCGCCAGUGAAAUACCACUACUUUAUCGUUUUUUCACUUAUCCGGGGAGGCGUGCCCUGAGGGGCUCUCACUUCGGGUCGGAAGUGCCUGGGCGGCCGGGCGCGACCCGCUCCGGGGACAGUGGCAGGUGAGGAGAUUGACUGGGGCGGUACACCUGUCACACCGUAAUGCAGGUGUCCUAAGGAGAGCUCAGGGAGGACAGAAACCUCCCGUGGAGCAGAAGGGCAAAAGCUCGCUUGAUCUUGAUUUUCAGUACAAGUACAGACCGUGAAAGUGGGGCCUCACGAUCCUUCUGACCUUUUGGGUUUUAAGCAGGAAGUGUCAGAAAAGUUACCACAGGGAUAACUGGCUUGUGGUGGCCAAGCGUUCAUAGCGAUGUCACUGUUUGAUCCUUCGAUGUCGGCUCUUCCUGUCAUUGUGAAGCAGAAUUCACCAAGCGUUGGAUUGUUCACCCACUCAUAGGGAACGUGAGCUGGGUUGAGACCGUAGUGAGACAAGUUAGUUUUACCCUACUGAUGUUGUGUUGUUGCAAUAGUAAUCCUGCUCAGUACAAGAGAAACCGCAGAUUCAGACAUUUCGUGUAUGUGUUUGGCUGAGGAGUCAAUGGUGCGAAGCUACCCUCUGUGGGAUUAUGACUGCACGCCUCGAAGUCAGAAUCCCACCUAAAUGUAACGAUACCCGAGUGCCAUGGAUUACUGGUUGGCCUAAGAUAACAGACUCCUGUCAGUGCAGACAUUGACAGCUUCCCCCGUGGAGAUACUGAAGAGCAUGAAAUUUUUGGCAUCCAUCUGACAGAGAAUCUCACCUGUUCCCUCAACACCAGCUCCAUAACCAAGAAAGCCGAGCAGUAUCUCCAGGUUUUCCUCAACUUAUGCAGAAACAGAUCUCCCAUUCUCACCACAUCCUACAGAGGGUCCAUUGAGAGUACCCUGAGCAGCUGCAUCACUGCCUGGUU